Fragaria vesca subsp. vesca is the source of this 3103-nucleotide RNA transcript. It is a transcript of the gene named CRC domain-containing protein TSO1-like, with no coding region annotated. NCBI's taxonomy places the organism in Eukaryota, Viridiplantae, Streptophyta, Magnoliopsida, Rosales, Rosaceae. The transcript has 12 exons. The record is from RefSeq and is a predicted model, not a curated record.
AUGGAUUCUCCUGAUUUCACUAAAUCCAGACCCACCGCCUCUCCCUCUUCCCACUCUCCUCCUGUUCAUGAGUCGCCUGUGUUUAGUUAUAUCAACAAUCUGUCCCCAAUAAAGACUGUGAAGGCUACACAUAUAGCACCAGGCUUCCCUGGACUCAGUUCUCCUCCUCUUGUGUUUACAUCACCGCGAGUAAAUCCAUACAGCGAAACGAGUUUCCUGAAGAGGUCUGAGAAAUCUGCGAUUCUCAUCAGGCGGUCUCAACAAUCAGAAUUAUCCGGUGCAGGAAUACCUAAACCUCAUGAUAAAGGUCCAGUCGAUUCUGUGAAGCCCUUGACACAAUUGCCGUUGGGAUUCAUUACCGACACUAGAGACUGCAAGACUAAGAAUUGUGUCGAAACUCAUCAGUGUAGCUCCUCAGAGUUUGUAGAUGAAUUCUUGGCUGAUUCCGCUGAUGUGGACUGUGUGACUUCUGAUCGAUCACUCAAUCCAUGUUUAGAACAUUCUAGCAGUGUUCUGGAGCAAUCAGGGAAUGACUUAAUCAAGUCCAAUGAACUCACAUUAACACUCGGCAACAGAAAUGAUGAUGCAACCAACUCAACAACAGAACCUCAGGCACCUUUUAUGAUAUCUGAGCAGGCUCACGAGUACAUUCAAGGAAAGCAAACAUCGAUUGCAAAGUCAACAAGGAAUGAAAAGCAAAGGAAUGAUGAAUUGUCAUUUAACGAAUACAGGAAUAUUGAUACUGGUUUAUCUGUCAAUAAUGCUUUCAGGAGAGAAUAUCACCAAGACUUGCAUGAUCGGGUUCUAAGAGGUGAACAUCAGGAUGAUUAUGGUUACAGCCCUCAAUCUCUAGCUGGAGCUUUGCAUAUUGGUCAUGUGUAUGAAGAAGAUGAAGCUGGUUCAAUUCCAAAUAGACUGGUUGAAAACGCUGUAAUGCAUGCUUCUAAGAGACGUUGCCUUCGGUUUGAAGAGGCUCCUCAUACUAGUGGUAAAGCGGAUGGUUCUUUGAGUUUUUCAGAGAAGGUUAGCAAUUCAGAACCACCUACCAGCACUAUAGAAACAGAGAUGGUUGGAUCAUCUUUUGUAGACCUAAGUGCAACUUGUACGAAGAGACAUAUGGAAGCCUCAUUGCCACCUCGGAGUACUGGAAAACCUAGUUUAAGCGUUUCCAAACCAUCCGGUAUUGGCUUGCAUUUAAACAGUAUAGUCAAUGCUGCAUCUCUGGUUCAUGGUGCAACAACCAUAAAAUUAGCAGACCGCAACAUGGGUGUACAAGUUAUGAAGUCGGCAUCUAUUAGUGUAAGGCGCUGUCCUAAUUUGUUGAAUAUGGUUGAGAAAGAUUCUGCUGGUGCAGUAGACUGGAGGAAUGAAACUGAGAGUUCAGUUGCUGCAAGUUCUGCCACAACCCAGUCUCCCCACUCUAUGGAGUUUGAGCAUCAUGGGUCUAUACAUGAGAUUAGGAUAUCUGAUUCUCACAGUAUAGACAGUUACGAAGAGUGCAACCAAUUGAGUUCAAACAAGAAGAGGAAAAGAGCACCGAGGAAUAGUGAUGGCUGUAAGCGCUGCAACUGCAAAAAGACCAAAUGCUUAAAACUUUAUUGUGAUUGUUUUUCUGCUGGAAUCUAUUGUGACACAACUUGUGCUUGCCAAGAGUGCUUUAACAAACCCGAGUAUGAAGAUACGGUUCUUGAGACAAGACAAAUAAUAGAAUCCCGUAACCCUCUUGCAUUUGCUCCCAAGGUUGUAGAGCGUGUAAGUGAGUUUCCACUAAUAUAAAUGGUAUCAAACGAAGAUGAGAAUCAAUUCACGCCAGCCUCGGCAAGACAUAAAAGAGGGUGCAAUUGCAAAAAGUCAAUGUGUCUGAAAAAAUAUUGUGAAUGUUAUCAGGCAAAUGUAGGAUGCUCCAAUGGAUGCCGGUGUGAAGGAUGUCAAAAUGCUUACGGCAAGAGGGGAGAGUUUGUUGACGUGGAUUCUGGUGUGGCUGGAGAAGUGAUUAGCCACAAAGAUGGCACGGAAACAAGAGAAAGCACAUUUGAUGAGAAGCUGCAGAGGGUGGCAACAAGGAAAGAUUCAAAUGAUUCACCCAACUUCACUCCGUUUACACCAUCAUUGCAAUGCUUUGAUGAUAAUUAUAACAUAACAAAAUCCAAGGUCCUUCCGGCAAUAGGCCGUCCAUCCCCUCAAUCUACUCUUACCAUCAUUUCACAUUACGAAAAAUCAACAAGAUCUCCUCAGAGAAAUUCAGAGAACAGUGAUAAUUGUAUGGACACAAGUAAAAUAUUAUUGGACGUGACUUCGUAUGAUAGGCAAGAGGAUUACGAGAACAUUGGUACUUUGGAGACUACUUCACCAAGAUGUUAUGCAGUCCCAACUACAUGCCAUCUUACUCCACUGUCAGGUCCUGGGUCAUUGGCCAUAACUUCUUCAGCAUCAUCAACAACAAGCGAUUUGAGAAAUGCUUCACAAGUUCAGCUGCACCCUGGAAGUCACUGCAUCUUGUCAGGUAGUUCUCUUCAUUGGCGUAGUUCACCUGUCACCCCUAUGCAUCAGUUAGGUGGGUUGAAAUCAUUCCAAGGUUUUGACUCUGAAAAGGGACAUCAUGACGUUCUGCAAGAUGAUACACCUCAGAUACUGAAGGAUACUUCUAUCCCCAUUAAGUCGGUGAAAGUGAGUUCUCCAAAUAAGAAGCGUGUUUCUCCUCCUCACAGCCACAUUCAUGAGCUUGGUACAAGCUCUUCGGGGGCCUUGAGAAGUGGCCGCAAGUUCAUACUGAGGGCUGUGCCUUCUUUUCCACCUCUUACCCCUUGUAUUGGUUCGAAAGGUAGUAGCACCAUUCAGAACAUGGGUAAUCCUCUUCAAGACAAGGAUUGAAAGAAGUGAUUGACACUACUGGAAUCCAUGGCGAGACGGGUGAGAUUACUCCAAGGAUCAUUGGUGGCUCUGAUUGUUGUACUUUGGGCUGAGAAAGAAAACUUUUCCAGACAUUCUUCUGUGGUUUGAAUGUUGUCAGGUUCAAAUAUGGUGACAUCUUCAGAUGUCUGGCUGUAUUCAGGCCCGUUCGAAAUGCAAAUCAUAGUAUUCAUUCUUAUGUGAAUAGGAAUGG